RNAcentral lists this ribosomal RNA (200 nucleotides) under uncultured prokaryote. RNAcentral describes it as "partial 16S ribosomal RNA". It matches the Rfam family "Bacterial small subunit ribosomal RNA", at positions 1182 to 1382 of the family's 1533-position model. The record is from RNAcentral.
AGGUCAAAUCAUCAUGCCCCUUACGUCUAGGGCUACAGGCGUGCUACAAUGGCCGAUACAAAAAGAUGCAAUAUCGUGAGAUGGAGCAAAUCUCAAAAAUCGGUCUCAGUUCGGAUUGGAGUCUGCAACUCGACUCCAUGAAGUUGGAAUCGCUAGUAAUCCUGAAUCAGAAUGUCAGGGUGAAUACGUUCCCGGGUGUU